RNAcentral lists this ribosomal RNA (468 nucleotides) under uncultured bacterium. RNAcentral describes it as "partial 16S ribosomal RNA". It matches the Rfam family "Bacterial small subunit ribosomal RNA", at positions 28 to 507 of the family's 1533-position model. The record is from RNAcentral.
GACGAACGCUGGCGGCGUGCUUAACACAUGCAAGUCGAACGGAAAGGUCCUGCUUUUGUGGGGUGCUCGAGUGGCGAACGGGUGAGUAACACGUGAGUAACCUGCCCCUGACUUUGGGAUAACUUCAGGAAACUGGGGCUAAUACCGGAUAGGAGCUCUCGCUGCAUGGUGGGGGUUGGAAAGUUUCGGCGGUUGGGGAUGGACUCGCGUACUAUCAGCUUGUUGGUGGGGUAGUGGCUUACCAAGGCAUUGACGGGUAGCCGACCUGAGAGGGUGACCGGCCAAAUUGGGACUGAGAUACGGCCCAGACUCGUACGGGAGGCAGCAGUGGGGAAUGUUGCACAAUGGACGGAAGCCUAAUGCAGCAACGCAGCGUGCGGGAUGACGGCCUUCGGGUUGUAAACCGCUUUCGCCUGUGACGAAGCGUGAGUGACGGUAAUGGGUAAAGAAGCACCGGCUAACUACGUG